CAGGUCGAUGCACAUUGACUUCUUCUUCAUGGCCAUGACAGAGAGACCAACGUCAAUUCGACCUCGUAACCUCCCCUUCUUCAGCUGAGGAAUUAAUCACACGCAGUCCCAGUCUUGGCAUAUGUAAGGAUGCCUCUUUCAAGCAGGAAAUAUCUCUGUUAAACAUAGACGGACAAGGAGAAAUUUUUUUAGCACCCUCAGCAAACCUUCCAGCUUCUCAGGCUUCUGAAUAUUUCCUGUCAAUCCUUGCAAGUCCUCAACUAACUCCCAGCUGUCCUAAAGAAUAAGAAGACAAAAUAAUUGUAAAAAAAUCUGGAAGAAAUAAC
Molecule: long non-coding RNA, 326 nt
Organism: Carassius gibelio (silver crucian carp)
Lineage: Eukaryota; Metazoa; Chordata; Actinopteri; Cypriniformes; Cyprinidae
Exons: 3
Source: RefSeq, a predicted model, not a curated record